Lepidothrix coronata (blue-crowned manakin) is the source of this 698-nucleotide long non-coding RNA. RefSeq lists it as uncharacterized. Lineage: Eukaryota; Metazoa; Chordata; Aves; Passeriformes; Pipridae. The record is from RefSeq and is a predicted model, not a curated record. The transcript is spliced from 2 exons.
ACCCUCUGCCUCUUCACCGCUGCCCCCCACACUUACCUGAUGAUAGGGGCUGUAGGCUGCUGCGAAGUAGGGCUGGGGAGGACCGUAGACUUGGUGCUGCCCCGCGCCCCCCGGGGAGGAUGCCUCCGUCGUUCCUCCUGCCUCGUCGGGCCCCGCUCCUGGCCGGGGAGAAGUGGAGCUCCGGGAAAGGCAGGGAUCGGGAUAACACCCUCCAAAUCCCACCAAGUCCGGCGUCCGCCGGAAAAUGCCACCGCAAAGUCACAGGAGUUGAGAGGUCUGAUGAAUUCAAGGAGGAAAAUCCAGUUGCUCCCGUGGAGGAAUCUCCCCAGACACUUUUGAAUCAUUUCAAAUCCUGGGAACCGCGAUGCUUUUGCAUUAACAGAAAUUAAAACAACGCCGAUGGCAAAGUCACGUCAAAAGAACAAAUUAUCGUGAAGGUAAACUUGAUUUCCUCCUCGGCUUUCUGCCGAGUGUGACAUGCAAAGUUGUAAAUAGGUGAAUGUAUCUUCACUGCUCAUUUUGACGGAGUUGCAUAGGAACUAGAUUACUUUCUAACAGAGAUCUAAGUUCUCAUUUCAAUACCAACUCUUUGAAACGUUCAUCUUCGUGGUAAGGGUCACAACUACAGUGAAAAGAGACCCGAGCUUGUUUCUUUUUUUCUUUAAGAAUCUGUAAUAAAGCAGAAAAAAUAUAGAACA